UGAAUCUCCAGUUAUUUCAAGUCCUGGGCCAAGCUGAAGAUAAUGCCUGUGCUGUGAUAACAAAGAAGGGUGUGUUUUCUGAAAAGUGUUGCAAUCAGAGUUACUGGAUUUGUCAACGCGUGCUUUCUGCAGAAACUGACCUCUAAACUGAUCCCAGUUUAUCCUUCCUGUAAAAACCAUUCACAAGGACUUUUUAAUUUAUGUAUUUUGUUGAAACACAUUAUUUUUACAACAAAUAUGGUGAUAAUGAUGAUAAUGGUGUUGAUUUGUGUCACUCUCAAUUCGGGCAAUCAGCCUCAACUCAUCGCCCUAGCUCUACCCGGUCACUGGUGCUAUAUUUCCACAGUUAUCUCCUGUGCAUUAUGGUGGCUAUUUUAGACACAGCUGUCCCUUUGUCUACUCAAUAAUUCUGUCCCAGGGGCACCUGGGCAGCUCAGUCUGUUAAGCUUCCGGGUCAUGGCAUUGAGCUCUGUUCUGGUGGAGGGAGGAGUCAGCUUGGGAUUCUUUCUUUCUCCCUCUUCCUCUGCCCCUCCUCCCACUCUAAAAAGUCGAUUAAUUAAUUAAUUAGUUAAUUAAUUAAUUAAAAAAAUUCCCUACACUUCUCAUUCACCAUUAGCAAAGGAGUUUUUCUUUUUUUUAAAGAAGCCAUCAGAUAGAUGAUAUAUUUAUUAUUCAUUGACUUUCUACUACUGAGUUUACACAAUUGUCUGCAUCUUAUUUCUUUUUCCUCACUCCCUAUUUCCAGACAGGGUAUCCCUCUGUCUGUCUAAAUAAAAUUUCUAAGUGCUACAUUUGGGAUUGCCUCUCUUUUCAUUUUUUUCUAGGACAGUCCCUCCUCUAUCAUCUCCGUUCUGGUCCCUCUUUUCUUCUAUCUCCUUUUCUUUCAGCAACAAAACAUGCAAGAGCACAAGAAAAUUUUCCCCGAACCACAUGUGGCUUCCAGUUUCUGCCCAGUUUCUCCCACCUCUUUUAAGUCAAACCUCCUAGAAAUUGUUUCUACUUGUACUUUCUUCUUUUCACCUCCUACUCCAGGUUCUUCUAAAAUCUGGUUUCUGCUUUUCCUAUUUCACUGUUCUCACAACGUCAUAAAUGCCUUUCCUCUGGCGAAACACAAUGAAGAUAUUCUAGGUUUCAUUUUAACUCUCAGCAGUGUUGCUCAUUAUCGACCUGUUCUUUCCUCUAGAAAUAUUCUCUAACCUCAGCAUCUAUGACACAAUGCUCUCUUGAACCUGUAUCUACGUUGCCUGCCGUUGUUCCUCAGUUUUUUCUGAAGGAUCUCUUCUCUCUUCUGAUCUCUUCAGUACUGACAUUCCUCAGAGUUUUAAGUGAAUUCUCAAUCAUACACAAUUCUUGGCUAAACUCACCUACACUGUAAGUUCUAUUGUCAUCAAUUUAUUAGUAACUCCCAAACCCAUAUUUCUAACCCAGAACUUAUUAUAGGUUUUGGCCACUGUACAUCUCUAACUGGACACCUCAAAGCCCCUUAGCUUUCACAUGUUAAAAUGAAACUCAUUAGCUUAGUGAAUGACAGCAAUGCGCCCAUUAGUCCAACCAGAGUCCCUGGAGUCAACCAUGACUUCUUUCUUUUCACCCAUGAUACUCAAACUCUCAUUUCAACCUGUCAAAUUUACCACAUAAUUAUUUCUGAAUUCAUCUACGUAUCUGCAGACCGAUCCUGUGGUCAUGGAUUCCCUCAACACUUGUUUGUCUGUUUCUAGCUUUGCCUGCCAAAGUCCAUUCUCCAUAUCAUGACCACAGUGAUUGUCUAAAUCUGAUAUCAUGCCACAUUAUUCACUACAUAUUUCUGUGUAGGGGUUUUUCCUUGCUUAAAUCUUUGACCAUCUCUGACCAGACCCUUUGUGUCUUGGUUCCUCUUCAUUCUUCCCCCCACCACCAUGAUUGUAAUGAUGCAGAUAACCUAAACUUUAUUCAUUUUCUCAAAUGUGUCAUGCUUUCUCUUGCCUCAUAUCUAAUUGUAUGUUUGGCUUGGCUUGAUAUUCUUCCCUUUCAUUUCUCCUAUUUAACUCUUGCUUAUGUUUGAGAAGGCUAGUUAAAUGCAUUUGGUGGAAAAUAUUUCCUUAACCAUUCUCCACUCCAGACUAAAUUAUAUGCAUUUGAUGUAUAUUCUCAUAGUUUCCUGUACAUAUCUUAACAUUUAAUACCCUAUUUUUUGACCAUUGUUUAAUUAUUUGUAUUUAUUAACAUACUGUAAGCUCUGGAAGGACAUGAUCCUCAUUACUGUAUGGGAGAGACAAGGUGCCUGAUGCAUGAUGGAUGAUAAAUAAGUACUUGUUCUGCUUUUGAGAUUAUUUGUAACAUUUUAUUGUUUCCCCAGCACAACUUCCUAUUUGUACAAAGCUUCCCUUAGCCUUGAUGAUCAUUAUCUGCCUACUCUUUUUUGUUUUGUUUUUUUUCAAUAAAGGUCAGUGUUAGGUAUACAUGAGCUAAUAAAUGACGUUUUCCAGGUU
Molecule: long non-coding RNA, 2468 nt
Organism: Lutra lutra (Eurasian river otter)
Lineage: Eukaryota; Metazoa; Chordata; Mammalia; Carnivora; Mustelidae
Exons: 3
Source: RefSeq, a predicted model, not a curated record